RNAcentral lists this ribosomal RNA (414 nucleotides) under Amblygobius stethophthalmus (freckled goby). RNAcentral describes it as "partial 12S ribosomal RNA". It matches the Rfam family "Bacterial small subunit ribosomal RNA", at positions 922 to 1528 of the family's 1533-position model. Lineage: Eukaryota; Metazoa; Chordata; Actinopteri; Gobiiformes; Gobiidae. The record is from RNAcentral.
CAUCCCCAGUAGGGGAGCCUGUUCUAGAACCGAUACUCCCCGUUCAACCUCACCCUCUCUUGUUCUCCCCGCCUAUAUACCGCCGUCGUCAGCUUACCCUGUGAAGGCCCUAAUAGUAAGCAAAAUUGGCACAUGGCCCAAAACGUCAGGUCGAGGUGUAGCGUACGAGAGGGGAAGAAAUGGGCUACAUUUACUGGAUCAGUACAUACGGACCCUGUUCUGAAAAUAACAGAUGAAGGAGGAUUUAGCAGUAAGGAGGAAAUAGAGCGCCCUCCUGAAAACGGCCCUGAAGCGCGCACACUCCGGCCGUCACUGUCCCGGAGAAUCGACUACAAAUAAAUAAAAACCUAUUAAAAUAGAGGGGAGGCAAGUCGUAACAUGGUAGGUGUACCGGAAGGGGCACUUGGAAAAACC